AGAGUUUGAUCCUGGCUCAGGAUGAACGUUGGCGGCGUGCCUAAUACAUGCAAGUCGAACGAGAUUUUAUUAAUUGAUUACUUCGGUAUGAUUUUUCUAAAAUCGAGUGGCGGACGGGUGAGUAACACGUGGGUAACCUGCCCUUAAGUGGGGGAUAACAUUUGGAAACAGAUGCUAAUACCGCAUAAACCUCAGAAACACAUGUUUCUGAGUUGAAAGGCGGCUUUCGAGCUGUCGCUUUUGGAUGGACCCGCGGCGUAUUAGCUAGUUGGUGAGGUAAAGGCUCACCAAGGCAGUGAUACGUAGCCGACCUGAGAGGGUGAUCGGCCACAUUGGGACUGAGACACGGCCCAAACUCCUACGGGAGGCAGCAGUAGGGAAUCUUCCACAAUGGACGAAAGUCUGAUGGAGCAACGCCGCGUGAGUGAAGAAGGUUUUCGGAUCGUAAAACUCUGUUGUUGGAGAAGAACACGUUUGAGAGUAACUGUUCAGACGUUGACGGUAUCCAACCAGAAAGCCACGGCUAACUACGUGCCAGCAGCCGCGGUAAUACGUAGGUGGCAAGCGUUAUCCGGAUUUAUUGGGCGUAAAGCGAGCGCAGGCGGUUUCUUAAGUCUGAUGUGAAAGCCUUCGGCUUAACCGGAAGAAGUGCAUUGGAAAACUGGGGAAACUUGAGUGCCAAAGAGGGCCAGGGGAAAUUCCCAUGUGUAGCCGGGGAAAUGCGUUGGAUAUAUGGAAGAACCACCAGUGGCGGAGGCGGGUUGUCUGGUCUGUAACUAAACCCUGAGGCUCGAAAAGCAUGGGUAGCGAACAGGAUUAGAUACCCUGGUAGUCCAUGCCGUAAACGAUGAAUGCUAGGUGUUGGAGGGUUUCCGCCCUUCAGUGCCGCAGCUAACGCAUUAAGCAUUCCGCCUGGGGAGUGCGACCGCAAGGUUGAAACUCAAAGGAAUUGACGGGGGCCCGCACAAGCGGUGGAGCAUGUGGUUUAAUUCGAAGCAACGCGAAGAACCUUACCAGGUCUUGACAUCCUAUGCCAAUCUGAGAGAUCAGACGUUCCCUUCGGGGACAUAGUGACAGGUGGUGCAUGGUUGUCGUCAGCUCGUGUCGUGAGAUGUUGGGUUAAGUCCCGCAACGAGCGCAACCCUUAUGACUAGUUGCCAGCAUUUAGUUGGGCACUCUAGUAAGACUGCCGGUGACAAACCGGAGGAAGGUGGGGACGACGUCAAAUCAUCAUGCCCCUUAUGACCUGGGCUACACACGUGCUACAAUGGAUGGUACAACGAGUUGCGAACCCGCGAGGGCAAGCUAAUCUCUUAAAGCCAUUCUCAGUCCGGACUGUAGGCUGCAACUCGCCUACACGAAGUCGGAAUCGCUAGUAAUCGCGGAUCAGCAUGCCGCGGUGAAUACGUUCCCGGGCCUUGCACACACCGCCCGUCA
Molecule: ribosomal RNA, 1437 nt
Filed under: uncultured bacterium
Lineage: Bacteria
Description: bacterial SSU rRNA
Rfam family: Bacterial small subunit ribosomal RNA
Source: RNAcentral